UACGUAGGUGGCAAGCGUUAUCCGGAUUUAUUGGGCGUAAAGGGAACGCAGGCGGUCUUUUAAGUCUGAUGUGAAAGCCUUCGGCUUAACCGGAGUAGUGCAUUGGGAACUGGGAGACUUGAGUGCAGAAGAGGAGAGUGGAACUCCAUGUGUAGCGGUGAAAUGCGUAGAUAUAUGGAAGAACACCAGUGGCGAAAGCGGCUCUCUGGUCUGUAACUGACGCUGAGGUUCGAAAGCGUGGGUAUCGAACAGG
Molecule: ribosomal RNA, 253 nt
Filed under: uncultured bacterium
Lineage: Bacteria
Description: partial 16S ribosomal RNA
Rfam family: Bacterial small subunit ribosomal RNA
Source: RNAcentral